GUGCCAGCAGCCGCGGUAAUACGGGGGGGGCAAGCGUUGUUCGGAAUUACUGGGCGUAAAGGGUUCGUAGGUGGCCAACUAAGUCAGACGUGAAAUCCCUCAGCUUAACUGGGGAACUGCGUCUGAGACUGGAUGGCUUGAGUGCAGGAGAGGAACGCGGAAUUCCAGGUGUAGCGGUGAAAUGCGUAGAUAUCUGGAGGAACACCGGUGGCGAAGGCGGCGUUCUGGACUGCUACUGACACUGAGGAACGAAAGCCAGGGGAGCAAACGGGAUUAGAUACCCCCGUAGUCC
RNAcentral lists this ribosomal RNA (292 nucleotides) under uncultured bacterium. RNAcentral's name for it is "partial 16S ribosomal RNA". It matches the Rfam family "Bacterial small subunit ribosomal RNA", at positions 505 to 796 of the family's 1533-position model. The record is from RNAcentral.